Long non-coding RNA from Papio anubis (olive baboon), 500 nucleotides. The record is from Ensembl. Lineage: Eukaryota; Metazoa; Chordata; Mammalia; Primates; Cercopithecidae.
GACCACCAUGUCUAAAUCAAACCCUCUCUGACCACCCAGAUUCUCUGGAGUAAAGAUCCAGCAUCUCAGGAGGCAGCAGGCAGCAAUAAAUAGCGAGCCUCUCUAUUGCCCAGGCUGGAGUGCAGUGGCACCAUCUUGGCUUCAGUGGACCCGGAGAGAAGGCCAGACUGGCUGGAAUGGCUGAUAAGGGAGAUGCUAAGCACUGUGGCUGCUCUGUGCGGGGGUCUGCAGAUGGCUUUGCCAUGAAACAAGAGUCCUCAGAGGCCCCCAGGAAGGUCAGGAACUACCGAGACAAUGCAGGAAACUCUAAAGGAGCAAGCCUCUCCUGCUGGGCCAGAGGGGCCGGACUGGAUUGGAACUCAGAGCUAACUCCAAAGACCUCAGACUCUCAGCUCUAUAAAGCUGCUUCUCCAACUGGAAGUCAAGAUUCCCCCAGGGAAGCCGAGGAAAGCACUGUGACGAUGCUGAUGCUGGUGGCCAUUACUGGGCAUCUGCUAUGA